GUGGGGAAUCUUCCGCAAUGGACGAAAGUCUGACGGAGCAACGCCGCGUGAGUGAAGAAGGUUUUCGGAUCGUAAAGCUCUUUCGUUAGGGACGAACGUGCUCUUUGUGAAUAAUGAGGAGUAAUGACGGUACCUAAAUAAGAAGCCACGGCUAACUACGUGCCAGCAGCCGCGGUAAUACGUAGGUGGCAAGCGUUGUCCGGAAUUAUUGGGCGUAAAGAGCGCGCAGGCGGGAUAUCAAGUCUGUCUUAAAAGUGCGAGGCUCAACCUCGUGAGGGGACAGAAACUGGUAUUCUUGAGUGUCGGAGAGGAAAGUGGAAUUCCAAGUGUAGCGGUGAAAUGCGUAGAGAUUUGGAAGAACACCAGUGGCGAAGGCGACUUUCUGGACGAUGUCUGACGCUGAGGCGCGAAAGCUAGGGGAGCGAACGGGAUUAGAUACCCCAGUAGUCC
Molecule: ribosomal RNA, 450 nt
Filed under: uncultured bacterium
Lineage: Bacteria
Description: partial 16S ribosomal RNA
Rfam family: Bacterial small subunit ribosomal RNA
Source: RNAcentral